GCCACAUGAUGAUCUCAUAGAUAACAUUAGUAUUUUGUGCAAAGAUGACACAUUAUCUAUCACCCGUGACUGAUGGCU
Small nucleolar RNA from Esox lucius (northern pike), 78 nucleotides. Its record names the gene SNORD83. It matches the Rfam family "Small nucleolar RNA SNORD83". From Rfam's summary of the family: U83 (SNORD83) and U84 (SNORD84) are members of the C/D class of snoRNA which contain the C (UGAUGA) and D (CUGA) box motifs. They act as guanine methylation guides but lack complementarity to ribosomal RNA. The record is from Ensembl. Lineage: Eukaryota; Metazoa; Chordata; Actinopteri; Esociformes; Esocidae.